This is a small nucleolar RNA of Salvia splendens (bonfire salvia), 105 nucleotides long. RefSeq annotates it as small nucleolar RNA snoR111. The transcript has a single exon. The record is from RefSeq and is a predicted model, not a curated record. NCBI's taxonomy places the organism in Eukaryota, Viridiplantae, Streptophyta, Magnoliopsida, Lamiales, Lamiaceae.
UUCAUCGCCGCCUUGUACCGUCGUCGUCGCAGUGGCGAUGGGAGAUCGGAUAUCGUUUCAUUCGUCAUUUUCUCCGUUGACGAUUCGAUUGUUGCUCGUCCACAU